This is a long non-coding RNA of Onychostoma macrolepis, 2190 nucleotides long. RefSeq lists it as uncharacterized. Lineage: Eukaryota; Metazoa; Chordata; Actinopteri; Cypriniformes; Cyprinidae. The transcript is spliced from 3 exons. The record is from RefSeq and is a predicted model, not a curated record.
CUAAAUCAUAACAUCUUUAUUUCUGAGUAGAAAAAAAAAGGAUUGUUUGGAUAUAUCAUUCUAUUUCUAAAGGAAUGAAGUAAAAUAUUACAAAUGUUACUGUAAAGGCCCUAUGACGAUAUCUACAACUAAACAUUUGGUCCCACUUUAUAUUAGGUGGCCUUAAUUACAGUGUACUUACAUUUAAAUUAAUAAUUUGAUACAAUGCACUUAUUGUGUACAUACAUGUUUUUACAUUGUACUUAUAUUUUAAAAAAUACCUAUAUGUACUUACAUCUGUAAUUAAUUUCUGUAAUUACAUUUAUAAUUACACUGUUGACCCAUCCCUUACACCUUAACCCACCCUUAAACCUACCCAAACCACCAAACAUGUCCCUAACCAUACCCAUAUCCCACCUCAAUAGCAGAAAAGUGUUUUGCAAUACAAUAUGAACACAAUAAGUACAUUGUACUUAUUUUUUUUGAUGUAAGUACAUAGUAGUUAAGGCCACCUAAUAUAAAGUGUAACCAAACAUUUUUAUAAUUUUAUGAUAAUAUGGAAGUUUACACCACCACUAUAACUAUAACAACCCAAAGGAACAAUUAUUCUCAUUACUCAUUUAUCUUUUUUUUUUUUUUAAACAGCAGUUCAGAUUUUUGUAUUUACUAUGGUGUUUAUCAAACAACACCAACUCAUAACAGCACUGGGCAGGUGACCAAAAACACCAAAAACAAACCAAAAAAAAAAAAAAAAUCUUAUUGGUUUCUUCGCAAUGCAAUAUAAAAUAUAUUAGAACCCCACUCUUAAAAAAAAAAGAAAAAAAAGCUGCACUAAUGGCAUGCAAAUGAAGAGUUCAGAUGCAAAAGCCUUGACCUUUAACCCUUUGAUACACAACAUGGGUCUAAAGUGAGUUUACUUUUUCUAUAUCUUUGCAAGAAAUUAAUUUCAUCAUUCAGAAUUCCAGGAAUUCCUCAAUUAACUUCGUUUUGAUCAUCAUAAAUUCUUAUUUUAUUUUUUCUGUCUUACCUUUUGAACAAAAAUCGUUUUUUGUGUCACUACCCUUCUAAUGCACAACAUGGGUCUAAAAUGACCCGUUUUCCUUUCCUAUGUUAUUUCAGAUAUGGAUGAGUGUUUCUUUGCUGAAUCUCUGGAAGAAAUGUUUUUCUAUCAUUUAUUAAUCCAGAUAGUCUUUAAAUAUGUUGAUUUUGACUUCCACAAAUCAUUUUGUUUAUUUUUCCUUCCUUAUUUUGUAAACAAACACGGUUUUUGGAUUUCUACAUCAGUUUUACACACAUGGGUCUAAAAUGACCCAUAUUCAUUUCCUAUGUUAUUUCAAUCAUGCCUGAGUGAUUCCUUGACCUUGACCUUGAAAUCUAUUACUAAUGAGACAGAGGCACAUGUCCAAUACUAUAUUAACUAGCUUGUUGUUGACAUAUUUUAUUUUAGCGAACUAAUGUUAGCUAGGUCAACAAAAUAAAAGUCAAAAUAAUACGUUAUUAUAUACAAGUAUAUUUCAUUGCUGUCAGGCAGAAACCUGAUAUCUCCACAUUUUUUUGUUGUUGUCAUAAAUCAGUGCUAUUGGCCACCCUUUAUGUCUGUCAGUGUUCCUGAAAAGUAAUGGUUUUGGACAUACAAGUUUUCUGUCUGACAGCGACAUUAUAUAAUCAGUAUAUACAUGAUCGACUGCUUGUUGUGCACUCUUUAUCCAGAGUGUUAGUUUGGCUGAUCCCAGUCAUUCUAGAUUAACGGCUGAAAUUUUUGUAGCGAUGCUGCAUGAUAAGGAAGAUCAGGCAAUUCUUAGUCCUGAUUCAGAGUCUGAAAUAUAUGAUGCUGAUGACCUAUACUAUGUGCCACAGGGUCAAUCUGGAGCUGUGGGUGUAAAUCCAGCUCUCCUAGAUGAAGAAGACUCAUUUGAAGUGACUGUCAUACGUGCAAGCCAUUCCGGCGGAUGACGUAGGACAUGUGCGUUGUAUACGCGUAACAAGGACACCUUAAAAUAAGUGUUGUGUCUACCAUCUGAAACUCUUCCAGCUGAUGAUGAUCCUCUGACAGGUGGAGUUUCACAGCCACGAUAUAAAGCAGAGGAUCAUCCAAGGAAAAGAGAAAUAAAAGCAAAAUUUUAUUGUAAUUAUAUCUAGUUGUAUUGUAACUUUAUCUAUGUCUAGAACAGUAAAGUUUUGUUUAAACUCCCAAACCACUCACCUUGGCAU